UGUAUAUGUAAUACAUGUACCCAUUGGGGAAAGGAGCGAGAUGAAAAUCCUGGGGGUUCGGGCGUAUGCCUGACCCACAUCCCUGCACAUCGAUCGGCCCGGUCGCCUAGCUUUAGUGGGAUAUCUACUAGCAACGACAUUGAACAAACCGUAGCCGUCGUCGCGUACCAACUCUUCUGCAAAUUGUGUUAAAAUCAAAGAUCGCUAUUAUAUUUCGACUAUUAUCCAAGCGUGGAUGCACAUUUUCUGCAUGAACGGUUUACAAAUUUGUUCGGUGAUAACGAUUGGUUACCGUGCUUCCGUCCUUGACAUUAUUUCGAUUCGAUGACGUUCGCGAGAACAAACUCCUGUUUACAGGGGAGAACAUCGACGAUGCACGAUGCAACUGCAUUCGUCCUCGUUCAUUUAUGCAUAGAUUGUAUGUACUACGUAAUAAACAUUGCACUGACAUUUACGCAUCAAUAAAGAUUAAUGUGCUGGUUAAAUUGAACGAAACGAAAAAUAAAUGUACAAUUGAAUUGUGGGAGAAAAAACUGUUGAAAAUGUUCAAGUUAGAGGUACAUGCUUAAUGGCGCGAGAAAAAAGCAAGACAGAUGACAAUGAUUGAUGACCCUUCUUCUCUCAUUCUCUUUUUCCCGCAUGAAAAAAUUGUUAACUUUCUUCCUCCGUGUAACAGGUAAUUAAUUUAUGCACUGACGUGACGAAAAAAUUGACUUUUAUUUACGAUUAAG
This 731-nucleotide long non-coding RNA is filed under the name Polistes fuscatus (common paper wasp). RNAcentral describes it as "uncharacterized LOC122523602". The record is from RNAcentral. Lineage: Eukaryota; Metazoa; Arthropoda; Insecta; Hymenoptera; Vespidae.